RNAcentral lists this unclassified non-coding RNA (336 nucleotides) under Hevea brasiliensis (rubber tree). Lineage: Eukaryota; Viridiplantae; Streptophyta; Magnoliopsida; Malpighiales; Euphorbiaceae. The record is from RNAcentral.
GCCGGUUACCAUUAGAGAGUCUCAAUCUCUACGAGAAUCAAUUCGAAGGGAAUUUGCCUGCAAGCAUUGCGAACUCGCCGCGAUUAUACGAACUCAGGCUGUUUCGUAACAGACUCACCGGCGAGUUGCCCCAAAAUCUUGGCAAAAACUCAUCGCUGAGAUGGCUUGACGUGUCAAGCAACAAAUUCACCGGCGAAAUCCCUGCGACUUUGUGUGCGAAGGGCGAGUUAGAGGAGAUGCUAAUGAUAUACAAUUCAUUUUCGGGUCAAAUACCUCAAAGUUUAAGUGACUGCCAGAGCUUGGCCCGAGUCCGCUUAGGGCACAACCAGCUGUCCG